Lolium rigidum is the source of this 508-nucleotide long non-coding RNA. RefSeq lists it as uncharacterized. NCBI's taxonomy places the organism in Eukaryota, Viridiplantae, Streptophyta, Magnoliopsida, Poales, Poaceae. The transcript is spliced from 4 exons. The record is from RefSeq and is a predicted model, not a curated record.
CCGGUUUGGAUGCCUCUUCCGUGUGUUUCCAGGCCGAGUGGCCGGAUUGAAGUGCUGGUCGUGCCUAGCCGCCAUAGUUCCUACAUACUUCAGGCGUUUUCGAGGAGAUCGAGCUCCACCCCGAUGUUUGGCUCCAGCGAGAAGUAGUGGUGGGCGGCCCGCCGACCGAGGCAAGGUGGCCUCCAGUUCCUCUUCCAUUGCCCCUCCCGGCCUGUCUAUCGUGCCUAUCUGAACCGUCGUUGUUGAUCGCCGGAUGAUUUGGGGCUACGGGCUGCGGAGGUUCUAAGAGUUAUGUUCAUGGAUCGAGAGUUUCUAAUGUGUGGCUUUUCAGCUCUCAGAUGCAGUACAUUCAGCUAAGAAGUAUGGUAAUGGAGAAAGCUUCAAAUGGAUUUGAUGCCAAUAUUAUUCUUGCUAGCGCUAUCUUGCGUUUGCUAUCGGUGGUGCAGCUGCUGCUUCCUGUUGUGGAUGUACUUCCUGGACAAAGUUCCACACAUGAAUUGCAGCGUCC